Non-coding RNA from Alligator sinensis (Chinese alligator), 898 nucleotides. Lineage: Eukaryota; Metazoa; Chordata; Crocodylia; Alligatoridae. The record is from the annotation of a RefSeq genome assembly.
AGAAUACUUAUCCUGGUCCCAGCAGAAACCUGGACAAGCUCCUACACAACUCAUCUAUGAUGGUGUCACCCGGAAACCCGGAGUCCCAGCCCGGUUCAGUGGCACUGGGACUGACACCGAUUUCACUCUCACUGUCAGCAGCAUUGAAGCCACAGAUGCUGGAGAUUAUUACUGUCAGCAGUAUCAGAGCUGGCGGUACAAUUUCGGCAAGGGGACCCGGGUAGAGAUCAAACGCAGAGAAGAUGCUUCACCUAAGGUAUCCAUCUUUCCCCCGUCGGCUGAGCAGCUUAAAGGGGGAAGAGCCACCGUGGUGUGCCUGGUCUCUGGCUUCUAUCCAAGUGAUGCGGGCAUGAGCUGGAAGGUGGACGGCACCUCCACUAGCACCGGUGUCCUCACCAGCACGGUGCAACAGGAUGCCGCUGACAACACGUACAGCAAGAGCAGCACCCUGACGAUCCCGGCAUCCGAGUACAACUCUCACAACGUCUACACCUGUGAGGUGACACACAAAACCUUGAAGGAACCUCUUACGAAGAGUUUCAAGAGGACCGAGUGUACGCAGUAGGAGGGCAGCAGGGGAGGGUCCCUGCUUCCUUCUGGCAGCCUUUCUUAUGCUUUCUUUAUGAAACUAUCCUUCUUUUCCAUUUGUUUCCAUCCCAGUAUAUGAUGAUGGAGAUCUUCAUGACCUCCCGUCCUUCCUCGCCCCUUGCUAAUUAUACCAUAUAACUGGGCCACCCUGCCUCCUCUCGCCCUACAGCCUAACACUGUUUCCUGCUCUUAUCAUGUGUCAAGUAUGAAAAAUUCAUAAAUAAAUGGAAUGAGUGAAAAGUCAUCUGUUUUCUCACUGUGUUUUUAAUGUGAUGAUCAAAAUAAAGUGAACUCAGGUGAAGUACAUGAA